RNAcentral lists this small nucleolar RNA (134 nucleotides) under Pteropus vampyrus (large flying fox). Lineage: Eukaryota; Metazoa; Chordata; Mammalia; Chiroptera; Pteropodidae. The record is from RNAcentral.
CUACAGAUUCUAUUACUAGUCCUGCUAUGAUGCUGAAGAAGUGAACCAUGUUUGCUAAAGUGAGUUUAAUGUUGGAGAAUUUAUCACCCCUUAAAGUCGAGUUUUCCAGGGCUAUCUGUCAACACAUUGGAGUG